RNAcentral lists this ribosomal RNA (253 nucleotides) under uncultured bacterium. RNAcentral describes it as "partial 16S ribosomal RNA". It matches the Rfam family "Bacterial small subunit ribosomal RNA", at positions 524 to 776 of the family's 1533-position model. The record is from RNAcentral.
UACGUAGGGUGCAAGCGUUAAUCGGAAUUACUGGGCGUAAAGCGUGCGCAGGCGGUUUUGUAAGUCUGUCGUGAAAGCCCCGGGCUCAACCUGGGAAUUGCGUUGGAGACUGCAAGGCUAGAAUCUGGCAGAGGGGGGUAGAAUUCCACGUGUAGCAGUGAAAUGCGUAGAGAUGUGGAGGAACACCGAUGGCGGAGGCAGCCCCCUGGGUCAAGAUUGACGCUCAUGCACGAAAGCGUGGGGAGCAAACAGG